This 459-nucleotide ribosomal RNA is filed under the name uncultured bacterium. Its description in RNAcentral is "partial 16S ribosomal RNA". It matches the Rfam family "Bacterial small subunit ribosomal RNA", at positions 338 to 795 of the family's 1533-position model. The record is from RNAcentral.
CCUACGGGUGGCAGCAGUGAGGAAUAUUGGUCAAUGGGCGCGAGCCUGAACCAGCCAAGUCGCGUGAGGGAAGACGGUCCUAUGGAUUGUAAACCUCUUUUGUCGGGGAGCAAAAGACGCCACGCGUGGCGUUCCGAGUGUACCCGAAGAAAAAGCAUCGGCUAACUCCGUGCCAGCAGCCGCGGUAAUACGGAGGAUGCGAGCGUUAUCCGGAUUUAUUGGGUUUAAAGGGUGCGCAGGCGGAAGAUCAAGUCAGAGGGAAAAUUGGGAGGCUCAACCUCUGCGAGCCGUUGAAACUGGUGUUCUUGAGUGAGUGAGAGGUAUGCGGAAUGCGUGGUGUAGCGGUGAAAUGCAUAGAUAUCACGCAGAACUCCGAUUGCGAAGGCAGCAUACCGGAGCGCAACUGACGCUCAUGCACGAAAGUGUGGGUAUCGAACAGGAUUAGAUACCCCUGUAGUC